This 65-nucleotide ribosomal RNA is filed under the name Ganoderma pseudoferreum. Its description in RNAcentral is "partial 18S ribosomal RNA". Lineage: Eukaryota; Fungi; Basidiomycota; Agaricomycetes; Polyporales; Polyporaceae. The record is from RNAcentral.
UCCGUAGGUGAACCUGCGGAAGGAUCAUUACCGAGUCUUGACUGGGUUGUAGCUGGCCUUCCGAG